Molecule: ribosomal RNA, 111 nt
Filed under: Acanthosepion pharaonis
Lineage: Eukaryota; Metazoa; Mollusca; Cephalopoda; Sepiida; Sepiidae
Source: RNAcentral
CAGCCAUAAUACGUUGAAACACCAGUUAUCGUACGAUCGCCGAAGUUAAACAACGUAGAGCCUGGUCAGUACCUAGAUGGUUGACCGCUUGGGAAUACGAGGUGCUGUAAG